RNAcentral lists this unclassified non-coding RNA (358 nucleotides) under uncultured fungus. RNAcentral describes it as "sequence contains ITS2". The record is from RNAcentral. Lineage: Eukaryota; Fungi.
AACGCAUAUUGCACUCCCUGGUAUUCCGGGGAGUAUGCCUGUUUCAGUAUCAUGAACAAAUACAUCAGGCCAAAAAGGCUCUUUUUGGACCCUGGAUCUAGGCUGUGAAAACUUAUUCUGUAGCCGACCUCGAACGGAGAGCUCUUGUUUCUCUUUCAGGGUCGGCCAGCCUGAAAUGCAUCCAACCGCGGCAAGGGAAAAGAAAGGCGUGAUAGUUUGACCUCUGAGUCGAUCUUUUCGCCGAAGCCUCUCUUCCUCCCGCGGCGAUUAGCAGGACCCGACGAAAAGCGACCGGUUUGGUUGUCUUUUUGAUCUUCAACUUGAUCUGAAAUCAGGUAGGAUUACCCGCUGAACUUAA